AAAACAAAACAUGACUAGCAGCAGAAGCCAAAAAGGUGGUCUCGUUAAAUGUUGCAGUGUAUGGCAACUCUAGGCAAAUGAACUGUUUUACCUGCACACAUACAAGCGUAUGUAUAGUCAACACAACGGAUAAUUUAGUGGAAUUUUCGAAAAUAGCAAAGGAAAGGCAGCCAUAAUCCUCCAGAGCAGCAGCCGCAGAGGCAGCGCCAAGAGCAACAACGACGCAAGCAGGCAUAAUAAUCAAAGAUUAAAUCAGGUUUAUAUGGAAGGGUUAAAAAGAGCAAAAACAGCCUGUCACAGGAAGAAAUACACGUUUCCUAGUCGCUGAGGCACGUCUACAA
This is a long non-coding RNA of Drosophila arizonae, 341 nucleotides long. Lineage: Eukaryota; Metazoa; Arthropoda; Insecta; Diptera; Drosophilidae. The record is from RefSeq and is a predicted model, not a curated record.